Drosophila simulans is the source of this 1681-nucleotide RNA transcript. RefSeq lists it as uncharacterized. The transcript has 5 exons. The record is from RefSeq and is a predicted model, not a curated record. Lineage: Eukaryota; Metazoa; Arthropoda; Insecta; Diptera; Drosophilidae.
UCACUUAAGACUUUAUACCUAUCCACAUGUGUGUGGCAGUUAGCCAGUGUGAGUGUGAUUACACCUACUUGAAGUCAUAUAUCUUUCACUUUGCGCUUUCAACAGUUUGUGACGUCCUCUCCGUCUACACAUUUAUCCUCCACUCCACUCGAGGGGGCGGUUAACAAAAGCUCUUUGAUAUACCGCCACCAACUCGACGCGACUCGACUUUCGAGACAUGCUACCAACACUUCAGCCCUAUAUAUAUACCCAACCCAUAGCCAUACCCAUACCCAUACUAUAGCCUCGCCUCAUUUGCUGCUGCCUCUGCCCGAAAAGCUCAGAAGUGGGCAUGUCAGCGAAAAUCACCGUAAAUUUUCCGCAUUGUUUAAAAUUUAUUACACUUUCAGAUUUGCCAGCGAACUGAACCGCACCGCGAGCGGGGGGCAAACGAUGCCUGAAUGUUGGGGGUGUUGGUGCGGUUGAUGAGGAAGUCGUUUGGGGCACGCCCUUUGUUUGCCGGGGUUUCUCCGGGGCCGCCUGCUAUCUCUGACAUGUUGCUGUCUAAUAAGUGUAACCAGUAAUUUUCUUAUCACGUAAACUGACUCAUGUAGCUGCCACCUUUUGGCCUCAUGGAGCCAGAAGGUCACCCCUAAGGUUGAGUUCACCAACGUCAAAUGCUCGUCUGCUGACACCUCGUACGUUUACUACGAGAGUUGCCGUAUUAAAGCGGUAAAUAGGACGUAUAAGUAUAUUUCUGUGAAUUCCAGACUGUUAAUAUUGCCCCUUACAAAUGCCACAAUAAACGUAGCCCUAUUUAAGCGGUAUAAUGGCUAUAAGCCAUUUCUCUAUAACGUUUCUGUGGAUGCCUGUAGAUUUUUGAAAACUCAAAAAUCGAACAUAGUCGUUAAAUAUUUAUUCGAUUUAAUUCUCUUACAAUCCAAUAUAAGAAGUCCGACCUGCCCAUUCAAUCAGUCCCUUAUUACUGUGGAUAGGCUCACUACCAACUUUCUGAAUAAUAAGCUUACGCAAGUUCUGCCAGUUCCUGAAGGCGACUAUCUUUUUGCAUUCAGAUGGUUCUCUUUUAAUAUUUAUCGUUCCUCUGUGAACGUGUACAUAACGAUAUCCUAAAUAUUAGUUUUGAAAACUUGGACGCCUAGUGGAUAUUCUAUUCAAAAGGAGUUCUUCAACAUUUUACUAAACCAAACAUAAUUAGUAUAUGCUUAACGCUUAUGUAUGUAAGUUUUAUGUUGACAACGUUAGGAUUAAAUGUUUCAAUGCUUUUUUAUAACUUCCUGGCCAGGGUAAUAAUUUUGCAUUAAUUGACAAUUUCAUGAACAGCAUUGGACAAUUUUAAGCACUAAAUUAUCAUAUCGGAAACAUAAAUAUUAAACUAAAUACUAAUGCCCUAAUGUUAUCCCAUAAGCAGACAAAAUAUAAUGUGUGCAUAAUUUUCGGCUAAUCCAUAUUUCAUGUCCGACAACUGCAUUGGCUUUCGGAAAAUCUCUACGUUAUCGAAAACAUCCUGUUUUUGCGGAAAGCCCAUUUAUGAAAUAUAUAGUAUAUAGUGCCCCUCGCUAUGAGUAUCUGAUAGAUAUGGGUAAACAAAAAAAGUUAGGCCAGAACCAAACUCGAAAUUCGAGUCUAAGCUCUGACUGCAUCCGCUUGUAAAUCAUAUUAAAAUAUUUAUGCUGCCGCCCGA